Long non-coding RNA from Syngnathoides biaculeatus (alligator pipefish), 1925 nucleotides. RefSeq lists it as uncharacterized. The record is from RefSeq and is a predicted model, not a curated record. The transcript is spliced from 3 exons. Lineage: Eukaryota; Metazoa; Chordata; Actinopteri; Syngnathiformes; Syngnathidae.
CCAAGCUAGCGCAGCGCGCUGGAUUAUAUUGUUACACUCGUGCGGCCAUUCCAGCCGCCUGUAACAUUUUCCGAUGCGCUAAUAUUUUCCAUGAUAUUUUCCCAGCGCGGCUGCAGGCGCUCCGCUGUCAUCGCUACUUUGAACUUUUUUUUGUUUUGUUUUUUUUGUUAACCUUUUCAGAAGUACGAAGGCGCACUCAAACGAGGACUCAGGUGCGCCUCGGCGAGGUCACGGCGACCUGUUUGGCUGGAAAAAGGGGCGCACGUUGGCGCCGGAGGAAGGACGCGUUCCGCGGUUUUGCGGGAACGGGUCGAUCCGAAGGCUCCGUGGGACUUUCAAGGCCAGAAGCUGAGCCGCUCCGUGUGUUGUGUGGCUUGCUGGCGUGUGUAUUGCCGCGCGCGUUUGCUGCGCGCGUCUACCAAGGCCGUCAACGUGCGCGUCUGUGUCGGACGAAAAAAAGUUGUCCGCGCGAGACGCCGUGCAGGUACUCCAACUCCUCGUUGGCAACCCAGAGAGGGCACCCCGCCCCCUUCCGACUGAAGACCGGAGGCUCAGAUUCGGAGGUGCCGGUUUUGACCCGAGCCUCCGCGGUGAGAGUUGAAGACGGCAACUCAGUGAAGCUGACAAAACCGCACCGUCGGCAAUAAACGCAGCUUCGGCCACCUGCGUCCGCAUAAGUGACGAAGUUCAGCCUCGACCGAGUCCGACGUUGACCGGGUCCCGUUUCCUGCCGGGCCGAGGCGGACCAAACUCACGCGGGGACUCAACAGUUGAUGUCAGCGGUUAGGGUUAGGGUUAGGGUUAGGGUUGGGGGUUCCUGAGGAAAUCCCCAAGGGACCCGUCGGAGGUAUCUUUCCGUAGACGGACCGGACGGAAGCCCUCGCCGCCAUCCAGAACCAGAAACCCGCUGAACGCGUUGAGAUGAAACAAAGAACUGCGAAUUCAUCCGGCUGACCUCCGUCUGACUUUGUGAGCACGUUGAUGGUCUUCAGCUGUCUGGGCUGACUUUGCAGCUCAAUUAAAACAAAAACAAAAAACGCGAACUCUGACCCCGCGUGUGUGCGUGUGCGGAAUUAGCGCGUCCGGCAGGAGCCUUCAGAUGGCCGGCCGGAAACGCUCCAAACUGGUCUGGACUUUGUGUGUCUACUUCUUGUAAAUGUUUAUUUGACAGACGCAGGUCACGCGAUGAACGCGAGUGCGAAUCGCCAGCGUUUAGAUUCGCCGGGCCGCCGCUGUCGUCGCGGCCAAUGUCGUGAUCCCUCGCGGCCCGUCCAUUGAAAAAAGUCGAGCGGCGGCUCAAGUGCGUUCCGACGCUCCGGAUGGUCGAUCGAAAUAAAAAAAGAAAUGGCCCAGUGUGACCGGGUCAGCGCUAAGCUUUUAUUGGUCCGCGCGUUCUUCUGUUUUCCGCCGUCGUCGUACUCGAGCAGCUCCGACUCCCCGCGACAAAUUGCUGGCGUCUUUUUGACACGCACGGCAAAUCGGAGAUGAUCGGGAUUUCCGCAAACAUGACAAUGCCGUGAUUGACUCCUCCUCAUCCUCAAAUGGGGUCAAUUUGGGCUUUGAUCAAAAGUAGAGAUUGAACCUUUUCAAAAUGUGGCGUGUUGAGGGCCUACUUGGAGAUGUUGGUCGCCUUUGAGACGACGGCAGAAGAAGAGCCGAUCACGAGCGUCGGCUUUACGAGGAGGAGGUCGGAUGGAAAAAAAAAAAUGUUGUUUAAUCAAAUCAUCGUGAAAAUUGUAUUCAGGGAAUGUUUUUAAAAGCAGCUGUAACUGAGGGACGCAAUUUUUUUUCCCAGGAUUAAACACCAUUUGACCAAUUUGAUUUUCACCUGAAACGACCUCAUCCAAUUUGACAUUUUAGAAAUUCGACAAACUCCAAAGGGUUCGCUUUUGUUGUUGUUGCUAAAUCACGACACAUUCUGCUUU